UACAGAGGUCUCAACCGUUGUUCGGAUUCAUUGGGCGUAAAGGGUGCGUAGGCGGUCGCGCAAGUCGGAUGUGAAAUCUCAGGGCUCAACCCUGAAACUGCAUUCGAUACUGCGUGGCUAGAGUGCUGGAGGGGAGACUGGAAUUUACGGUGUAGCAGUGAAAUGCGUAGAUAUCGUAAGGAGCGCCAGUGGCGAAAGCGAAUCUCUGGGCAGCAACUGACGCUGAGGCACGAAGGCCAGGGGAGCAAACGGG
This 253-nucleotide ribosomal RNA is filed under the name uncultured bacterium. RNAcentral describes it as "partial 16S ribosomal RNA". It matches the Rfam family "Bacterial small subunit ribosomal RNA", at positions 524 to 776 of the family's 1533-position model. The record is from RNAcentral.